Molecule: transfer RNA, 65 nt
Filed under: Anaplecta sp. 5 ZQW-2020
Lineage: Eukaryota; Metazoa; Arthropoda; Insecta; Blattodea; Anaplectidae
Description: tRNA-Gly
Source: RNAcentral
AUUUAUUUAGUAUAAAAAGUAUAAUUAACUUCCAAUUAAAGGGUCUAAAUAACAUAGAAUAAAUA